CACCUGAUUGAUUCUGUCAGCGCCAUAUGCUCAGUUUAAAGAUUUAACCAUGCAUGUCGAGCUCAUCUCAAGAGAAACUGCGAACGGCUCAUUAGAGCAGAUGUCAUUUAUUCGGAACGACCUAUUGGAUAACUGUCGCAAUUCUGGAGCUAAUACAUGCAAAGAAACCCUAACUUUUGAAAGGGUGCAAUUAUUAGAGCGAACCAAUCACCUUCGUGUGCUGUUUGCUGACUCUGAAUAACGCAGCAUAUCGGCGGCUUGUCCUCUGAUAUCCCGAAAAAGUGUAUGCCCUAUCAACCUGAUGGCAGUCUAUUAGCAUACCAUGGUUAUUACGGGUAACGGAGAAUAAGGGUUCAACUCCGAAGAGGGAGCCUUAGAAACGGCUACCACAUCCAAGGAAGGCACAGGCGCGAAACUUAUCCAAUCUUGAAGAGAUGAGAUAGUGGCUAAAAAUAAGAAUACCAUUUCUAUCGAACGGUCAUUCCAAUGCGUUGAUCAUAGACCUUUUUUUAGAAUCCAGUGGAGGGCACGUCUGGUGUCAGCAGCCGCGGUAAUUCCAGCUCCACUAAUGUAAAUCGUCAUUGCUGCGGUUAAAAAGCUCGUAGUUGGAUCUAAGUCAUAUGCAGUGGUUCACCUUUGGUGUUAAUCGCAGUUGUGGUUAUAUGCUGGUUUUCUACUGGAGCUUCGACUCCUUUAGUAGCUAGCGAGUUUACUUUGAAUACAUUACAGUGCUCAGUACAAGCGUUUUCUUGAAUGGUUGAUCAUGGAAUAAUAAAAGAGGACUUCGGCUCUAUUUACUGGUUCAGGACCUGAAAUAAUGGUUAAGAGGAACAAUUCGGGGCAUUCGUGUCCCUGCGCGAGCGGUGAAAUUCGCGGACCGCAGGGGUCGCACUAAAGCAAAAGCAUUUGCCAAGAAUGUCUUCAUAAAUCAAGAACGAAAGUCAGAGGUUCGAAGGCGAUUAGAUACCGCCCUAGUUCUAACCAUAAACUAUGCUAUCUAGCGAUCCGAUGGGGUAUUAUUGCCUUGUCGAGGAGCUUCUCGGAAACGAAAAGCUUUCGGUUCCUGGGGUAGUAUGGUGCAAAGCUGAAACUUAAAGAAAUUGACGGAAUGGCACCACCAGGAGUGGAGCGUGCGGCUUAAUUUGAGUCAACACGGGAAAACUCACCCGGCCCGGACACCGCAAAGAUUAACAGAUUGGAAACUUUUGCUCGAUUUGGUAGUUGGCGAUGGAUGGCGGUUCUUAGCUGGUGGUACGAUUUGUCUGAUUCAUUCCGAUAACGAUCGAGACUCUAGCUGCUAAAUAGUGGUUGGAUUCUCAAGUCCAGUCUACUUCUUAAAGGAAUAAGCGGUGUCCGCACGAGAUUGAGCGAUAACAGUCUGUGAUGCCCUUAGAUGUCCGGGGCUGCACGCGCGUUACAGUGGAAGAAUCAGCUUGCCUAUCAUUGCCGAAAGGCAUUGUAAACUGUUGAAACUCUUCCGUGACCGGGAUAAGGAAUUGUAAUUAUUUAUCUUGAGCGAGGAAUUCCUAGUAAGUGUGAUACAUCAGCUCAAGCUGCCAUUUGCACACACCGCCCAUCGCUGUCCAGGACUGAGCUGUCUCAAGACGACCGCGGACUGCUGUAUCGAGACCUUCGGGUCCCGCUGUGCGGCGGCAAACAGUUCAAUCGCAGUGGCUUGAACCGGGUAAAAGUCGUAACAAGGUAUCUGUAGGUGAACCUGCAGAUGCACCAUCG
Heligmosomoides polygyrus is the source of this 1734-nucleotide non-coding RNA. Lineage: Eukaryota; Metazoa; Nematoda; Chromadorea; Rhabditida; Heligmosomidae. The record is from Rfam.